RNAcentral lists this transfer RNA (69 nucleotides) under Candidatus Peribacteraceae bacterium. Its description in RNAcentral is "tRNA-Arg". It matches the Rfam family "tRNA". Rfam says of the family: Transfer RNA (tRNA) molecules are approximately 80 nucleotides in length. Their secondary structure includes four short double-helical elements and three loops (D, anti-codon, and T loops). Lineage: Bacteria; Candidatus Peregrinibacteriota; Candidatus Peribacteria; Candidatus Peribacterales. The record is from RNAcentral.
GUAGUUCAACGGAUAGAACAACCCCGUCCUAAGGGGUGGAUGUAGGUUCAAUUCCUACCGGGGCUACCA